GGAUGCGAUCAUACCAGCACUAAAGCACCGGAUUCCAUCAGAACUCCGAAGUUAAGCGUGCUUGGGCGAGAGUACUACUAGGAUGGGUGACCUCCUGGGAAGUCCUCGUGUUGCAUUCC
Molecule: ribosomal RNA, 119 nt
Filed under: Triticum aestivum (bread wheat)
Lineage: Eukaryota; Viridiplantae; Streptophyta; Magnoliopsida; Poales; Poaceae
Source: RNAcentral